GGAAGCGUGGCAGAGCGGUUGAAUGCACCGGUCUUGAAAACCGGCGAUGGCGCAAGUCAUCCGUGAGUUCGAAUCUCACCGCUUCCG
This 87-nucleotide transfer RNA is filed under the name Permianibacter aggregans. It matches the Rfam family "tRNA". From Rfam's summary of the family: Transfer RNA (tRNA) molecules are approximately 80 nucleotides in length. Lineage: Bacteria; Pseudomonadati; Pseudomonadota; Gammaproteobacteria; Pseudomonadales; Pseudomonadaceae. The record is from Rfam by way of RNAcentral.